ACAUGUCUUUUUGNAUAAAUAAUUUAAAGUCAAAUCUGCCCACUGAUNAAAUUAUUGAAGGGCUGCAGUAUAUUGACUGUACAAAGGUAGCAUAAUCAUUAGUCUUUUGAUUGAAGACUUGUAUGAAAGAUUUGAUGAAAUAUAAACUGUCUCUUAUAUAUUUAUAAAAUUUAAUUUUUUAGUUAAAAAGCUAAAAUUUAUUUAAAAGACGAGAAGACCCUAUAGAGUUUUAUAAUUAUUUUUUAAUUAUUUAUUUAUAAAAAUAAAAAAUUUUUAUUAAAUGAUUAUUUUAUUGGGGUGAUAGAAAAAUUAAAUUAACUUUUUUUAAGUAUUAAACAGGUAUAAUUGAAUAUUUGAUCCAUAAUUUAUGAUUAAAAGAAAAAAUUACCUUAGGGAUAACAGCGUAAUUUUUUUUUUUAGUACAAAUAAAAAAAAAAGUUUGCGACCUCGAUGUUGGAUUAAGAUAAAAUUUAAAUGCAAAAGUUUAAAAUUUUGAUCUGUUCGAUCAUUAAAAUCUUACAUGAUCUGAGUUCAAACCGGUGUAAGCCAGGUUGGUUUCUAUCUUUAAAAAAUUAAAAUAUUUUA
This 585-nucleotide ribosomal RNA is filed under the name Lycaena alciphron (purple-shot copper). RNAcentral describes it as "partial large subunit ribosomal RNA". It matches the Rfam family "Bacterial large subunit ribosomal RNA", at positions 1815 to 2664 of the family's 2925-position model. The record is from RNAcentral. Lineage: Eukaryota; Metazoa; Arthropoda; Insecta; Lepidoptera; Lycaenidae.